This 734-nucleotide ribosomal RNA is filed under the name Bacteroidales bacterium 55_9. RNAcentral describes it as "bacterial LSU rRNA". It matches the Rfam family "Bacterial large subunit ribosomal RNA", at positions 1 to 742 of the family's 2925-position model. Lineage: Bacteria; Pseudomonadati; Bacteroidota; Bacteroidia; Bacteroidales. The record is from RNAcentral.
UGGUCAAGCUACAUAGGGCACAUGAAGGAUGCCUUGGCAUCAGCAGGCGAAGAAGGACGUGGCAAGCUGCGAAAAGCCUCGGGGAGCUGCAUACAAGCUUUGAUCCGGGGAUAUCCGAAUGGAGCAAUCCAGCAGAAGUAAUGUUCUGUUAUCCGGCACUGAAUACAUAGGUGUCGGAGGCGAUACUCAGUGAAGUGAAACAUCUCAGUAACUGAAGGAGAAGAAAUCAACCGAGAUUCCGCAAGUAGUGGCGAACGAACGCGGAAGAGCCUAAACCAUCGGGUUUACUCGAUGGGGUUGCGGGACUUGAAUGUGACAUGCGGCCGGUUAGCACAACCGUCUGGGAAGUCGGGCCAUAGCGGGUGACAGCCCCCUGUGCGAAAACCGAAAGCAGUCUACAAGUAUCCCAAGUAGGUCGGCACACGUGAAACUCCGACUGAAUCCGGGGAGACCACUCUCCAAGGCUAAAUACUAGCUGAUGACCGAUAGUGAAACAGUACCGCGAGGGAAAGGUGAAAAAGUACCCCUUUUAGGGGAGUGAAAAGUGUCUGAAAUCAUGUGCCUGCAAAGUGUGGGAGCCCUUCGGGGUGACCGCAUGCCUUUUGCAUAAUGAGCUUGCGACUUACUUUAAGCAGCCAGGUUAAGCCAUAGGUGAAGCCGAAGCGAAAGCGAGUGUGAACAGCGCGUUAAGUUGCUUGAAGUAGACCCGAAGCUGAGUGAUCUAUCCAUGGCCA